Symphalangus syndactylus (siamang) is the source of this 1977-nucleotide long non-coding RNA. RefSeq lists it as uncharacterized. Lineage: Eukaryota; Metazoa; Chordata; Mammalia; Primates; Hylobatidae. The record is from RefSeq and is a predicted model, not a curated record.
CUGGCCUAUCAGUAAAUUCCAUCCAUCUGGUUGCAGUCGCUUGGCCAAGUGACUCACAGAAACUCAGUCCUUUGUCAAAAUGAUGGGGAAAGAGAAGCUCUUCUUCCACUGAAACUUUUUCUUUUUUGAGAUGGAUCCUCCCUGUGUCCCCCAGGCUGGAGUACAGUGGCUUCAUCUCGGCUCACUCUAGCUUCCGCCUCCUGGAUUCAAGCAAUUCUCAUGCGUCAGCCUCCUGAGUAGCUGAGACUACAGAAAUGCACCACCACACCAGGCUAAUUUUUGUAUUUUUAGUAGAGAUGGGGUUUCAUCAUGUUGCCCAGACUGGUCUCAAACUCCUGACCUCACAUAAUCUGCCCACCUUGGCCUCCCAAAGUGCUGGGAUUACAGGAGCAAGCCACCACACCCGGCCUCCACUGGCACUUCUAACUGUAGGACGAUACAAGCCUGGUGCAGCCAGAGUCCCCAGGCAGGGAGGCAGGAAUCUGAGAAUGGAGUCAACACAGAAGAGAGAAGAGCUCUGAGAUGGAGAGAGAGACUGCUGAAAUGAUACUUGCUGGUACAGGCUGAUCCGUCUACUCAAACUUCACAGCCGUCAGUACAGGGCAAAACCUGCUUAGCCAUGUUGGCCAGAGUGUCCACAAGAUUAAAACUCACUCAGAUGCUCAGAAGAAAUAAAACUAUAUUCCUGAUUAUGAUACUUGAAAAAAAAAUUCUACCUUGGGCUGCUUAUAAGGAAGAUGCUGUGUAAAAUGAUGAUUCACACCCUCAACCAUAUUCCUACAAUAAAUAUGACAAUGAAUUAACGGAUUUCAUGGGACUGUUUCUUAUAACAUCCUGAUGACAAAACACCAAAGCACAGUUUAAUGCAAGCAGUUUUCAAGUCAGGAAAUGAUGCAGGCCACUUGUGUAGUCACUGCUAGAAUGGCUAGUCAGAACAAAGGUGACGCCUCCAGGAUAAAUGAGUGCAGGCUUCAUAUGGUUUGGAUCUGUGUUCCUGCCCAAAUCUCAUGUUGAAUUGUAAUCUCCAAUGUUGGAGGAGGGGCCUGAUGUGAGGUGACUGGAUCAGGGAGGCAGAUAUCCCCCUUUGUGCUGCUCUCAUGAUAGUGAGUGAGUGCUCAUAAAAUCUGGUUGUUUAAACACAGGUAGCACCUCCCUGCUCUCUAUCUUGCCACUGCCGCAGCCAUGUAAGAUGUGCCUGCUUCCCUUUCACCAUCCACCAUGAUUGAAAGUUUCCUGAGGCCUCCCGAGAAGCUGCUCUGCUUCCUGUACAGCUUGCAGAACUUUCUCAAAAGUAAAUGAGCUGUUCCUGAACCUAUUGGGUCUAGGAGAGGUCUCAGUUUAUGGGCAGCUGAUGAUGUCUCACUAUGAAGAACUUGUCCUGAUGGUGGGCAGCUGUUGAAGAUGAAUAGUAAGGAUCUCCCAUGGGAGGUCCAGGAAGGCUGAUAUCUUCCAGGCUUGCCUAUAGGCUUAUGUGGCUCACAUGCCAAGAUGGGAACAGACUGUGCUCCUUCUACUUAGAAAAGAAUAAAAUUAACUGUAAAGCAUCCUUGGGCAGGUCCUUCAGGAGGUAUUCCGGAAGAGGGCAUUGUUAUCAUAGGAGAUGACAGCUCCAUCCUGUUACUGCCCCAAAGACCUUCCAGUGGGACAAGAUGUGGAGGUAGAAGACAGUGAUAUUGAUGAUCCUGACUCCACAUAGGCCUACGCUAAUGUGUGUGUGUCUUAGUUUUUAAAAAAGUUUAAAAAGUAAAAAACAAUUUAAAAAGUUUUAUUAGAAUAAAGCUUACAGAAUAAAGAUAUAAAGAAAGAAAAUAUUUUUGUACAGCCAUAGAGUGUUUGUGUUUUAAGCUUAGUGUUAUUACAAAAGGAUCAAAACUUUCAAAAUAUUUAGAAGUUUAUAAGGUAAAAAGUUAUAGAUGGCUAAGUGCGGUGGCUCACACCUGUAAUCCCAGCACUUUGGGAGGCCAAGGCAGGUGGAUC